Molecule: long non-coding RNA, 595 nt
Filed under: Phoenix dactylifera (date palm)
Lineage: Eukaryota; Viridiplantae; Streptophyta; Magnoliopsida; Arecales; Arecaceae
Description: long non-coding RNA (PDAC_LNC020649)
Source: RNAcentral
CUCGUUGACAGGUUCUGAGAUGAAGCUUUCUGUUCUUCUUUCUGUUCUCAGUCGGAGUCGACUCGUACUAAUCUGGAGUCGACUCGAGCUCAUGCCAGUGAACUUGAUACGCUUGGAGUCGACUCGUGAUACUCGGGAGUCGACUCGAGUCUCAGACAUUGGUUCAUGCAGACUUCUUAACUUAUCCAAAAUACUAUGAACCAAGUCUAGAAACACUUGGACAGGAUUUUCACUGAAACACUCAAUUGAAUUCAUUAGUAAUCACAAGAUAUACUCAAUUGCUUUGAGCUCAUCAAAAUCAAAUGGGGUUUUAAUCAAUCACUCCACACCCGCGCUCCAGUCGGUCCCCCUCUCGCCGCCCCUUGUCUCCCACCCACCGGUCGCGCUCCCUGGACCGGCGGGUGGACGAUCUCCACCGACAACUCCAGGUCCUGAAGGGCCAUUCCAAAGAUCCCUUCGCCGACUUAGAGAUCUCCUCCCAGCCGGCGCUUGCCUCGAGGAUCCUGCGGACCCCGAAUCCGCCGGGGUUCAAAAUGCCGGCGAUCGAGCCCUAUGACGGGGCGGCGGACCCGCGGGAUCACGUCGAGAGUUUCAG